Non-coding RNA from Chiloscyllium plagiosum (whitespotted bambooshark), 450 nucleotides. Lineage: Eukaryota; Metazoa; Chordata; Chondrichthyes; Orectolobiformes; Hemiscylliidae. The record is from the annotation of a RefSeq genome assembly.
GCUCUGUUUAGAAAGAUUUUAGCAGAACCGUUUCCCACAAGUUAUCAAAAUGAUUGUGUCGACAAUUUUUCUCAGUUUGUUGCUGACUUUAUUAUCAUGUGUCCAGUCGGAGGUUGUUUUGACCCAGCCAGAGGCAGAGACUGGCCGUCCCGCAGGCAGCCUGAAACUGACGUGUAAAACCAGCGGGUUCGAUCUUAGCAGCUACACCAUGCACUGGGUCCGACAGGUUCCCGGACAGGGUCUGGAGUGGCUGCUUUGGCACUAUAGUUCAUCCAGCAGUAACUAUGCACCAGCGAUUAAGGGUCGAUUUACUGCGUCCAAAGACACUUCAAACAACAUUUUCGGGUUGGACAUGGAGAACCUGAAGAUCGAAGACACCGCCAUCUAUUACUGUGCAAGAGACGACAGCGAGAGGAACCAGGGCUGGAACCGUUCAAAAACAGCUCAAAG